This 174-nucleotide long non-coding RNA is filed under the name Mustela putorius furo (domestic ferret). Its description in RNAcentral is "lncRNA (ENSMPUG00000025009.1)". Lineage: Eukaryota; Metazoa; Chordata; Mammalia; Carnivora; Mustelidae. The record is from RNAcentral.
CGCAGCAGAGGUGGCUUAUGGAGGAGCUCCGGCUUAAUUGUACUGGAAGAAGUCUCAGAGCUCAGACAUUUUCCUGGACUCUAAUGGGCAGAAUGGCUCACCCUUCCCUUGUAGUUGCUUCCAUACCAUCUUCUGGAUUACAAUUUCCUCCAACCUGUUUCAUCUGUAAGUAUA